UACGGGGGGGGUAAGCGUUGUUCGGAAUUACUGGGCGUAAAGGGCUCGUAGGCGGCCAACUAAGUCAGACGUGAAAUCCCUCAGCUUAACUGGGGAACUGCGUCUGAUACUGGAUGGCUUGGAUCCGGAAGAGGGAUGCGGAAUUCCAGGUGUAGCGGUGAAAUGCGUAGAUAUCUGGAGGAAGACCAGUGGCGAAGGCGGGUCUCUGGACAGUUCCUGACACUGAGACACGAAGGCCAGGGGAGCAAACGGG
RNAcentral lists this ribosomal RNA (253 nucleotides) under uncultured bacterium. RNAcentral's name for it is "partial 16S ribosomal RNA". It matches the Rfam family "Bacterial small subunit ribosomal RNA", at positions 524 to 776 of the family's 1533-position model. The record is from RNAcentral.